ACGGGUGAGUAAUGCUUAUCUAACUUGCCAAUUAGUGGGGGAUAACCAUGGGAAACCAUGGCUAAUACCGCAUUUGUUACUUCGGUAAUGAAAGAGAGUCGCAAGAUUCUCGCUAAUUGAUAGGGAUAAGUCGUAUUAGUUAGUUGGUGGGGUAAUGGCCUACCAAGACCAUGAUGCGUAGCCAGUCUGAGAGGAUGAAUGGCCACAAGGGAACUGAGACACGGUCCCUACUCCUACGGGAGGCAGCAGUGAGGAAUUUUCGGCAAUGGGGGCAACCCUGACCGAGCAAUACUACGUGAAGGAGGAAGGUCUACGGAUUGUAAACUUCUGUUAGCAGGGAAGAAGGGCUGGACGUGAGUUCAGUUUUGACGGUACCUGCAGAGAAAGCCACGACUAACUACGUGCCAGCAGUCGCGGUAAGACGUAGGUGGCGAACGUUAUCCGGAAUCAUUGGGCGUAAAGGGUGCGUAGGUGGCAUAAUAAGUUAUCAGCGGUAAAUCGGGGCUCAMCCUCGUGGAAGUCGGUAAUACUGUUAUACUUGAGUGCAGGAGAGGUUAACGGAACUCCAUGUGGAGCGGUAAAAUGCGUAGAUAUAUGGAAGAACACCAAUAACGGCGAAGGCAGUUAACUAUUCUGUUACUGACAUUGAGGCACGAAAGCGUGGGGAGCAAAAAGGAUUAGAUACCCUUGUAGUCCACGCCCUAAACGAUGAGUGCUAGAUAUUGGGAACUUGAUUCUCAGUGUCGCUAGUUAACACGGUAAGCACUCCGCCUGGGUAGUACGGUCGCAAGGCUGAAACUCAAAGGAAUUGACGGGGACUCGCACAAGCAGUGGAGCAUGUGGUUUAAUCCGAUACAACGCGUAGAACCUUACCAAGGCUUGACAUGUUCGGCAAAGUUAUUGAAAGGUAAUGGAGGUUAUCCGGACACAGGUGCUGCAUGGCCGUCGUCAGUUCGUGCCGUGAGGUGUAUGGUUAAGUCCUAUAACGAACGUAACCCUUAGGUUUAGUUGCCAGCAUUCAGUUGGGGACUCUAGACCGACUGCCCGAGUAAUCGGGAGAAGGAAAGGAUGACGUCUGGUCGUC
Molecule: ribosomal RNA, 1084 nt
Filed under: uncultured bacterium
Lineage: Bacteria
Description: bacterial SSU rRNA
Rfam family: Bacterial small subunit ribosomal RNA
Source: RNAcentral